Molecule: long non-coding RNA, 2402 nt
Filed under: Homo sapiens (human)
Lineage: Eukaryota; Metazoa; Chordata; Mammalia; Primates; Hominidae
Description: HSALNT0027848
Source: RNAcentral
AUAAAAUGAGGUCCCUGAUAGGUUCUCUUGCAGUAAUUUUAUCAUUUCUCUAUAGAUGUUGACAGUUUCUAAAGUCCUACCAGGCAUUUUUUCUAAGUGACCUUAUUUGGGAGGAAAAAGGAAUAUGUGUCAGAAGGGAAAAAAUGUAGUGGAACAGGAAGGAAAGGGAGGGAUACUAUUUUGCUACUCCAAAGUAAUUGAUAGAGGAUUCCUUUGGAGGGAGGAGUGGAGAGGGAAUUUUUGCAGUUGUUUUCCAUUCUACUGCUUUAAAUCAUUACCUUUCAUUUAAACUCAUUUAAAUGUCUACUUUUUUCUGAUGGAUUCCACUCUUUCUGGUCAAAAGUAUUGAGGGGAAUUUGAAAGACAAGUCAUCAGGUAGGCCUGGAUUUGAUCCCAACAAUAGUUACUGACUUCUAGAGCUAAAUCACAUGCAGAGAUCAUUAGAUAUAAGGUGGGAACCAGGAAUCUGCAUUUUAACAAAUUCCUGAAAUAAUUGUGUUCAUGCAGAUGGACCUUGAACCACAAUUCAAGACACACUGUUACAGAGAAACAACUCUUAGAGCUUUUAUUCUCACUGCAAUCUUUUACUUGAGGAUUUGGUUAAGAUCUAAAAUGACGUCUGAAAGACAGAUGCUUGCUGUGUUAGAAUCAUGUCUCCUAGUUCACUGCCUUUGGACCCAAGAUGUCCACCUUGAGUUCUGUUUCCUUAGCUUAGUGGUUCUUAACCCCAGCUGCACAUUAAGGUCCCCUAGGAUACUUUAAAAGAAAAUACCGGUGUCUGCACUUCACCUCCAGAAAUUCUGAUUUAAUUGCUCUGGAGUGGGGCCUAGAUGGCCUCAGUGAUGUUAAUGUGCUGCCAGGCUUGGGAGCAGCUGCCUUAAACUGAGUCUGACCCUAGAUGUUUCUUGGUCCUAUUGCAAAUCCUUGUGUCCUUUGCACCCAUCCAAGCCAAUGUGUCUUAAGGUUACAUAUAGUCAGACUCAAGCUGGAGCCCUUGUUGAAAUAUUAUGUAGUGGGGAUUAUUGUAGAGAAACACUUUGAUAGAAAUUGUAACAUAUGUAAUUUUUCAAGAAACUGAUAAGAUUAUUCACCACCCGUAGUCUACUCAGAGGCUACUCACCUGUAGCCAAGUGAGUUUAAUUCCCUUCAAAAUAGUCACUUUGGGGAUUGAGGCAAGUCUUUUUAAGGAUGCUUCAAUUUUUCAAAACCCAUUUGGCCUUUUCUCUGUUUUAGACGUUGCUACUUUGUUUUUAUUUAAAACAUUGCCAUUGCUUUAGAUAGGACCAGUUUAUACUCUAAAAAUCACUGGUUUAACCCAAUACUUUACCUCACAUCUUGUUCUCCAGCUGGGUAACUCAUUCUGUUCACCAGAAAAGACUGUGAUUGGUUGCUAGUUUUGUGUUUCCUUGAAUUGAAUCCCAAUUUAAGGAUAAAUAUUUGCUGCUGCCAAAGUAGGACUUUGAAGAGGCAGCCAGAGGAUGUUUCUCUGCAGGGCAAUAAUUGGGUGUGAAGGGUUUCCAGUUUUUUGUGGUGGAUUAGAGUCUCGGGGAAGACACUCUGAGAUAGAAAAUCCUGAUCAGAACAGGAGUCGAGAGAGAGGAGAGGCCGGUAGGGACAGGGUCAGUUGAAUAUUGGAGCAAUGUUGUUUGAUAAUGAGUUUUGAUUUUCCUUUUCUACAUUGUGAUUCUCUUAAUACCUUCAGAUGUUUGCUACCUAGGUCGGCAAGUAGGUCUGUCAGUAUGACUUGCGUAUGAAAGAGAAAGCUCUUCUGUGUUUAGACAAAGUAAUGCUAGGAACAGGGUGUGGGAACUGAUUAGGAUCCUGUUCUGUGGGAAAUUGGUCCCUAAUGGUAAGAGGGGACAAGCAACUUCUCUGGAGUAGUAGUCUAAAGCUCAGAAGAGUGACAAUCAGGCUUAGUGGCAAUCAGGCUUUGUAAGCAUUCUCAAGAAUCCUUAGGUGCAUUGGGGAGAGAAUUGGCUAACUUACAGACACACAGGCUGAAAGCUUGAGGUAUUUUGUUUGGCUCUUAAAGGCUAGCAAUUUGGAGACAUUGGCUUGCUUAUACCCAUAUCAUAAAAUUCUGUUCACUUAAAAUAUUGAUGUUAAUUCUAUUGGUUGUAAUAAACUCUAUCGUGUGCUUCUGCCCAUAAAUUAUUAUUCAUUUUCCCACUGUUGUUAACCCAGCACCAAGAGAAUACUUACUUACAAAAUAACGCAAAUGCAUGGGGCCCCUCAACGCCAGCCUUCAUGGGGUUGUGAUUCAUUAUUUCCCAGUUGAGUGCACCAGGUGGCGCCAGUGUCACAGGAAUACCCACAAAGAACACUGUGCUGGUGUAUUUUUACCACUUGGGGUCACUUAAGGAUUACCCGACUCCCUUUUUUUUUCAUCUGAGCAAAUCACA